ACUCCAUGGUGUGAACAUUUUCGUUGUAAAUCCUUGAAUCUUUCCCAGGCAUCAUGAAGCGCUUCGUUGUCACGUUGCUUGAAGCUAGUGAUGUCAGUUCUCAGCUU
This is a non-coding RNA of Corchorus olitorius, 107 nucleotides long. NCBI's taxonomy places the organism in Eukaryota, Viridiplantae, Streptophyta, Magnoliopsida, Malvales, Malvaceae. The record is from Rfam.